RNAcentral lists this ribosomal RNA (497 nucleotides) under uncultured bacterium. RNAcentral's name for it is "partial 16S ribosomal RNA". It matches the Rfam family "Bacterial small subunit ribosomal RNA", at positions 28 to 507 of the family's 1533-position model. The record is from RNAcentral.
GAUGAACGCUGGCGGCGUGCCUAAUACAUGCAAGUCGAGCGAACGGACGAGAAGCUUGCUUCUCUGAUGUUAUCGGCGGACGGGGGAGUAACACGUGGAUAACCUACCUAUAAGACUGGGAUAACUUCGGGAAACCGGAGCUAAUACCGGAUAUUAUUUUUAACCUCAUCGUUGAAAAGUGAAAGACGGUGUUGCUUUCACGUAUGGAUUCAUCGGAGCUGCAUUAGCUAUUUGGUAAGGUAACGGCUUACCAAGGCAACGAUCCAUAGCCGACCUGAGAGAGGGACCGGCAAAAUGGGAACUGAGAACGGGCCAAGCUCCCUAGGGGAGCAAGCAGGAGGGAACUUUCGGAAAGGGGCGAAAGCCUGACGGAGAAAGGCGGCGGGAUGGAGGAAGGUCUCGGGAUGGUAAAACUUGGUUAUCAGGGAAGAACGUAUUUGUAAGUAACUGUGCAAAGCUUGACGGUACCUAAUCAGAAAGCCACGGCUAACUACGUG